GUCCCAAACUCUGUAGUGAGUCCACACAAAAGUUCUUGUUCAAAUAGUUUUUCUAAUAACCAACGUUGGUAGAAGUAUUUGUAUAUGAAUUUCCGUAUACUUUGGUACCACUUGGUGCUACACAAAAACACAACAAAAGUUUUGCAGACUCUAUCUCACAUAUAAGAAAUUUCGACUUCAGCGGAUAUUAAAUCGAAUUUUUCAUUCUAAUGCUGCUCAGCUGCUCAUUGAAUCCAGGACACGCUGUUCAACGAAGCUGCUAUUUUGACACUGACUUGCAUAACCUAAUGAAGACUGAACGGCAUACUUCAACAAAAUGGCUAUAAAACAAUGUUCCCCCGUUCCCCGAGUACGCACUUUACUUCUAUGCAACUGUAUUGAUUCUGCAUGAAAUUCUAGUU
Anastrepha ludens (Mexican fruit fly) is the source of this 401-nucleotide long non-coding RNA. RefSeq lists it as uncharacterized. Lineage: Eukaryota; Metazoa; Arthropoda; Insecta; Diptera; Tephritidae. The transcript has 3 exons. The record is from RefSeq and is a predicted model, not a curated record.